UACAGAGGGUGCGAGCGUUGUCCGGAAUCACUGGGCGUAAAGGGCGCGUAGGCGGCCUGGUAAGUAGGGGGUGAAAUCCCGUGGCUCAACUGCGGGACGGCCUCUUAGACUGCCGGGCUCGAGCACAGUAGAGGCAGGUGGAAUUCCCGGUGUAGCGGUGGAAUGCGUAGAGAUCGGGAAGAACAUCGGUGGCGAAGGCGGCCUGCUGGGCUGUUGCUGACGCUGAGGCGCGACAGCGUGGGGAGCAAACAGG
Molecule: ribosomal RNA, 253 nt
Filed under: uncultured bacterium
Lineage: Bacteria
Description: partial 16S ribosomal RNA
Rfam family: Bacterial small subunit ribosomal RNA
Source: RNAcentral